GGGGGAAGGAGGGAAUUCAGCUUUUUCUGACACCCUAUUAAAUCUAAUUUCCUUACCUUCCUCAUAGUUUGCCCACCUGAUCCUGGAUGAUGGGAUGCGCUAAGGGGCAAGCCAGUCUGCUUUCCAUUGGAGCAUCUUCCUCCAAAGAUGAGGGUGGAGGGGAGUAACACAACAGGGGAACUUUCAGGAAAUACAGGAUGUGAAAAAGAUACAGAAGGAGGUGCAGAGCCCUAGCUGGCCUGAGGGAAGAGAAGCCCUCACUGGACUUUCCCCAGGGGUGUUGGCUUCCAGGUUUUUCAGCUUAUCUCCUCCCUGGAUGUCUGUAUAAACCAGAUGAUGGCUACCUUAAUACCUUAAGAAAAACUGAAUUCACAGAGGAUUUAAGGGGUACACUCUUGCUGACUGAGAGUGGGGGAUUCCACCUCCCAAUACCCACUCCCAGGAAUUAUCCUUCUUGGGCCACCAUCCAGCAACUCUCCACCAAACACCCCCCUUUUCUGUUCACGACUCCAGCGUUCCAGACUUAAGCCUGCAGCUGCUGAGAGCUACCAAGCUGAGGAAGGCUGCCUGAGAGUGAGUCCCAACGGGGGAAAGCAGAGCUGGAAGUCAGGAGAGACCAAGUCCCGAUGACAUCAUUGGCGCUGUUGAAUCCAGAUGGGCUUUAUGUCUCUAGAGCCCUGGAUGUGGAUUUUUUUUUAGUUACAUAAAUCGGGAAACUACUCCCUCCGCCCCGAUCUUUUUUGUUGUUGGAAACUACUCCCUCCGCUCCGAUCUUUUUUGU
This is a long non-coding RNA of Choloepus didactylus (southern two-toed sloth), 781 nucleotides long. RefSeq lists it as uncharacterized. NCBI's taxonomy places the organism in Eukaryota, Metazoa, Chordata, Mammalia, Pilosa, Megalonychidae. The transcript is spliced from 4 exons. The record is from RefSeq and is a predicted model, not a curated record.